UCUCUGGUGGUCUAGCAGUUAUGAUUCAGCACUCUCAUCACUGUGGCCCAGGUUCAAUCCCUGGUCUGGGAA
RNAcentral lists this transfer RNA (72 nucleotides) under Sus scrofa (pig). It matches the Rfam family "tRNA". From Rfam's summary of the family: Transfer RNA (tRNA) molecules are approximately 80 nucleotides in length. Their secondary structure includes four short double-helical elements and three loops (D, anti-codon, and T loops). Further hydrogen bonds mediate the characteristic L-shaped molecular structure. tRNAs have two regions of fundamental functional importance: the anti-codon, which is responsible for specific mRNA codon recognition, and the 3' end, to which the tRNAs corresponding amino acid is attached (by aminoacyl-tRNA synthetases). tRNAs cope with the degeneracy of the genetic code in two manners: having more than one tRNA (with a specific anti-codon) for a particular amino acid; and 'wobble' base-pairing, i.e. permitting non-standard base-pairing at the 3rd anti-codon position. Lineage: Eukaryota; Metazoa; Chordata; Mammalia; Artiodactyla; Suidae. The record is from Rfam by way of RNAcentral.